RNAcentral lists this ribosomal RNA (518 nucleotides) under uncultured bacterium. Its description in RNAcentral is "partial 16S ribosomal RNA". It matches the Rfam family "Bacterial small subunit ribosomal RNA", at positions 28 to 523 of the family's 1533-position model. The record is from RNAcentral.
GACGAACGCUGGCGGCGUGCUUAACACAUGCAAGUCGAACGGAGAAUUUAUUUCGGUAAAUUCUUAGUGGCGAACGGGUGAGUAACGCGUGGGCAACCUGCCCUUCAGAUGGGGACAACAUCCCGAAAGGGGUGCUAAUACCGAAUACGAUCACGCUGCCGCAUGGCGGAGUGAUGAAAGAUGGCCUCUAUAUAUAAGCUAUCGCUGAAGGAUGGGCCUGCGUCUGAUUAGCUAGUUGGUGGGGUAACGGCCUACCAAGGCGAUGAUCAGUAGCCGGUCUGAGAGGAUGAACGGCCACAUUGGGACUGAGACACGGCCCAAACUCCUACGGGAGGCAGCAGUGGGGAAUAUACCGCAAUGGACGAAAGUCUGACGGAGCAACGCCGCGUGUGUGAUGAAGGUUUUCGGACUGUAAAACUCUGUUGUUUAGGACGAAAGUGCCUGUUGCAAAUAGUUGCAGGUAUUGACGGUACUGAACGAGGAAGCCACGGCUAACUACGUGCCAGCCGCCGCCGUAA